This 1766-nucleotide long non-coding RNA is filed under the name Malus domestica (apple). RNAcentral describes it as "long non-coding RNA (MDOM_LNC005839)". The record is from RNAcentral. Lineage: Eukaryota; Viridiplantae; Streptophyta; Magnoliopsida; Rosales; Rosaceae.
UGAUUCCGCCUUUAAUUGUUAAUUGCAUGCUUAUUGAUGUUGCUUAAAUGAACUUGUUUUCACAAAAUCUUCCUUCAAAGAAAUCACAGAUUAAUAACUCUCCAAAAAAAGUUUAGGCUCAAGUCUCUUAGGGUUGUAGUGUUAGUUUAAGUUCCUUCCUUCAAGCAUGUUACUAAAACUGAAUUUUUUUUUCUUCUUUUGUGAUUACAUGUGAAUUCGUUAAUGACAACUACAACCAAGUGAUAGGAGCAUAUUUAUGUGACUUAGUUAGCUUGUUCUUGUGCAUUUAUGUGGUUAUUUCUUAGUUAAAUUAGUAUUUCAAGUCAUUUUCGUGUGUUUAUAGGACCAAAGGGCUAAAGUAUCAAGAAGGUGCAUUUUGGAGCAGUUUUGGGCAUGGAAUGAAUAUCAUAUGCUUGGAGCAAGGGAGUUGGAUGAAAUUGAAGACUAAAGAUGGCUAGGAAUCUGAUAAGGAGAUGAAGAAAUUAAAUUCAAACAAAGAAGAUAAGGAAUCAGUUCAAAAGAAGAAACAUUAUCCAAAAUCUUAUCCAACCUUAUUUUAUCCAAACCAAUCUUAUCUUAUCUUAUCCUAUCCUAAUCCUAUCAUGCCUUAAAUCUAGCUGCAAGGGGACCUAAAUAUCUAUUUCUAGAAGCUUUUUCUAGAAGUAUUCCCUUCUAGAAGUCCCAAAUAAACCACAAAACACAUUGUUUCUAGAAACCCUACAAAGGUGGCGCCUAUUCCCUUCUAGAACGCCUUGCCUUUCCUUGCAAUCCACUCUCAUUUCCCUCCAAUAUCUGCCGCACCCCUCUAUCCCUUUUCCCUGUUGGAUUCAGAUUUAUUAGGCCUUAUUCCUUGUGGAUUUGGGUUAUACAAAUCCUUCUAUGAAAUUAAUUGGGCCAAACCCUUUUCUUGGUGGAUUUAAACUCAAUGUUGCACCCUAGGGCCCUAAUACUUUUAAUGUGCUGAUUCAUAACCCUAAUCUGAUUCAUCCUAGGGUUUGUGCCGUGCCUAUAUAUACAUAUUUUCAGCCAUAAAUUCGUGAUCAUCCCUUUACCAUCAGAAACACAUUCAGCCGCACCCUUCAUUCACCAUUCUUGCGAUCCAUAAAAUUCCACACACAUUCAGCCGCAACCUUUCACCCUAAUCAGCCAUCAUUCAUCAUCCUAAACAAGAAUACAACAUCCACCACCCCCAAAACCACCAACCACACCUUAUGCCGUAGCAAGGAAGAAGGAUGAGAGCCCUUGGAUGUGCCAGCCAUUCGAAUUAGAGUUGUUGGAACGUUUUAGGUGUAGUCUUUCUUUUGUUUUCAAUGUUUAAAUUCAAUAAUCUUUGUUUUGUGAGUAUGAGGAACUAAACCCUCUUAGCUAGGAGGAAUUUCGAAACCAUGGCUAUAUUUGCAAUAUGAUUUGAUUACAUCCAGUUGUGAUUUCAUGAAUUGUGAAUUCAAUUUACUUAUCUGUUUGAAUUAAAACUUGUUUAUGUAUGUGAGUUGAGAGUGCACACUUAAUUUACAUGCAUAAAUCUGAUGCUAGGAUAUAAGGGAGUUUCACCUAAUCGUUAUGAACUUAUAUUAAUAAGUAGUAAAGGUUGUUAGUCACAAUCAUGUUAAGUAAAUUCCUGGCAUAAGUAUCAUGUGCUUUCAUAGUUACGAAUUGAAGGGAAAAAUUAUGAGUUUUCACAUAUAGGGAUUUCAAAAUGACUAUCAUGCAUAUACAAAUCAAAUUUAAUAUACGAAAGCAGCGGAAGCAUUUAUAACAAAUUAUCA